UUGCCGUAGUGCAGGUGGGAUUGCCAGGUGCCAGGUGCCCCUACUGCAGCCUGCACGGAGGGGACCGUCAUUUUCAGACUGUCCUUUUAGCAGGACUUCAAUGUCAGGGCAUGAGUUUUUAAUCCUGGGCCACAAGAGGCCCUGACACUUCCUCUGUUGCUCUCUUGAAACCUUCACGAAAGGAAGCCAACCUAGGCAGCAUCCAACACUGACUGCCAGACAUGUAAGUGAGACCAUCUUGGAUUUCCCCGCCCAGACGACCAUCUGGCUGAAUAAGUGAAAUCAAGUGAAGGCAGAAGAGGAGCUGCCCAGCAACCCACAGAAUGGCCUCCAAAGAAGUCUACAAAUUCCAUCAGUCAGUAACGGCUUGGAGUUCCAAAGCUUAUGACUCAAAGGUGAUCAGAGCAUGGACCUGGGGCUAGUCUGGAUUGGUAACUGCUAAACUUGGAUACAUGGCUUCUGAUGGCCCUGCUGGGGAGACCAUGUGGAGAGAUGGCAUAGAGCCAGAGAUUCACGUUCCAGGAGCCCUGACUGUCUCAUCUCAGGGAAUUGAAUCUCCUUGUGCUCCAGACCCUAUGAGAGGAUGCCAUCCCCUGCUACCAUCUGACUGCAACCUCAGGAGACACCCCAAGCCAGAACUGAGCAGCCAAGCCACUCUCAUAUUCUUGACCCAUAGACAUUGGGAGAUAAAAACUGAUUGUUGUCAAUUUUAGUCAGUACAUUUUAGGGCAAUUUGAUGUCCUAGCAAUAGACUAGUAUAUUUAUCCAUUGCUGCAUCUUCUUCUGCUUAGAUUAUGAUGCAUGUUUUUUAGCUCCAACUAGUAUCUAAACUUGUCAUGGUCUUUGCUUGAAAGUUUGAUUUUUUGCUGCCCUUGAACUUUACCCCUGAUUCCAAUUUACCCAUUUGUUUUGGUUUAGUUUAAGGAGAUUGUAAACAAGUAUGCCUACAAGGGCCAUGCAACAAAUGCUAAAAAGAGAAGUAGACCUGGGCAGGGAGGCAAGGGAGCGGAAAGAUGUGUAGUACGUUCAGCUCAGGUCACGUUCAUCAUCCAGCUCUGGAAGAUGGAUCCAGUGGGCAUGUGUGCCUAAUGAUGCCACAUUAUCUGAUUUUUUUCUCCAAAAGAAAAAUCAAGAUUUUUAUUAAAAAUCUUCUGGUUUAAAAAAAUUUAAAUGCUAUUCAAAUUUCAAUAACAACCAUGCCAGAUAAAAAAUAGCUACUGACUGAACUUAGCCAUGAUCUGCCAACUUGCAACCUCCAAAUUAGAAGUUUUUAGCCACUAUGGAUGUUAGGAAGACCUGAAACACAGAAUAGAGAGAUUCCAAUUUUUCUAGUGACAAUGAGUCCUGAGAAAGGUGACAAAAUCAGAAUAACCUUUGGAGAAAGAUAAAUGCUACUAUCAGUGGAAUGGGAUUCAGUCUUCAGCCUGUUGUAGUAAUUCAGUAAGCACAUGUGGUCAUUGAGUGAACUCGCAUGGCCAAUACAAGGCUCUAACCACAAUUGAACUCUCUGCUUUCCAUCAGUCGCCCACCCUGUUGUGUACAAAGAAGCAGAUAUGCAAUAUAGCAGGAGCCCCAAGAAAAGGUGCAUGAAGAUAUAUGGGAUGGAACGUACCUCGUUUCCAAUGGUAAAGCUUUUAAAAAUGUUGUUGAAAGCAUCAGUGCUGAAAGAUUACCUCAUACUUUACCAGCUUAUCAUAAUCCCUGUACAGUAUAAAAAUAACAACAAUGAAUACAUAUUGAGCA
RNAcentral lists this long non-coding RNA (1743 nucleotides) under Homo sapiens (human). RNAcentral describes it as "HSALNT0186596". Lineage: Eukaryota; Metazoa; Chordata; Mammalia; Primates; Hominidae. The record is from RNAcentral.